This is a long non-coding RNA of Penaeus monodon (black tiger shrimp), 215 nucleotides long. RefSeq lists it as uncharacterized. The transcript is spliced from 2 exons. Lineage: Eukaryota; Metazoa; Arthropoda; Malacostraca; Decapoda; Penaeidae. The record is from RefSeq and is a predicted model, not a curated record.
GGGCGCCGGGGGCCGGGGUGGGCUCGGCUCUUGGGCAGCGGCCGCGGGGAGAGGAGGCUGCCGUCGCCUCAACAGCUGUGGUGGGAGUCGUUCGGAGACGACCAGCUGCCAGUCUAAGUGCAUAUCAGCCAUCAAUAAUAAAGUACUACAUAUUGAGACAUACAAAGAUUUUCCUACAAAGAACAAGACUAAUUGACAUUAACAGCAAAUUAAAC